CUCCGGUCCGCCGCAGCGGGCCGGGUGGGGUGGGCUCGCGGCCUUGGCGACGCAGGUGGCCGAGAUGGAGGAGGAAGGCGAGGUCCGGGUCACGUCCCGGGUGUGGCGUUUCCUGUAGUAGGCCAGCGAGAAAGCUCGAACGAAAUCAUAUCUCUUGCAACAAAAUGCUGGCCUGGUGAACCAAUUGUGUCAUUACGGAUGCAAGAUCCUUGACAACUCUAGCUAGGACUUGGAGACCUGUCUAUCAUGGGUGCUUUGGCAGAGAAGGAUUUCAGAGACUCCCGAAAAAACUGAGAGUAUAUAUCCUAUGUACAAUGUUCGCUUUAGAAUCAACCAGCAGAAAAAGAUGGGAGCCAUGAACAGCCCAUGAACAGUAAUUCUGAAACUGUACCAACCAAGAUGGCAACCUCAGGUAACAAAAGAUUAUGCCAAGAAAACAUCACAAUUUUACAGCUAUAUUCAGUAGACUAUCAUUCUCCCGAUUAAUUUUAUUUUCUUGUAAGGGUGAAGUUCACCAUCACGUCAGUGGAAACCAACUAGCUCAAAAAGAGGCAACAAGAGUUUCUCAAGAUGAACUUACGGUAGCUUUGCAGUGACAGAACGCUAGAUGACAUGAAGUGAUAUUGGCUCGGCUCACCUCUGGUGCUCGUGCAGUUUGCUGUCGCUGCGAGAUGAGCCAAGUCAAUACCAUGCCAUGUCUUCUCAUUCUUUGCUCUUGGCUCUCUUCGCCUGAAUGCUCCUUCACUCCAUCACUUGGGUCCCUUUAUAGAGCAGCCAUGAAUAGUUUAAGAUGACAGUUGUCUGUUUGUCAUGCCUGGUGCAGGGCAGGCUUGAGAUGGGAGACAAUAGACGCUGACCAGUCCAAUGAACAGGCACUGGAAUGGACCGUCAGCUGAAACAGCUGGAAAUUCGAUCGGAAUCCAGAAUCUAUCAAACAAGUGCACCCAUUCAAAAGGGCUUGGAAAUAUCCUCAAGAGUCCGGUUCUUGCUGGCGAGAAGGCAACAAAGUUGGAGCUGAAGUGUGCUGCGAAAACGAAGCCUCCAUUUUCAUUGCUUUUGACAGGGUCAGUGACUAGUUUUUCAGGCCGGCCGUGUGUUGUCCCCUUGUGAAUCGGUCGGGAUAACUUAGAAUAGCUCGGCCAAAGCAAACCGACCAUUGUUAAAAUUCACUGGCCUCAACUAACAUAGUUUUUUGUUUUUUAGAUUAAACAUAGUUUUUUUGUGGGAGGCUGCUAUGCUGCUGCCUCACCACAACUAUCACGUUACAUGUUACUUAAUCUGGAAAUGUCAUGUAGUGUGACAAACUUGUACAGGUUGUCCUGUAACCGUGUGCAUUUUGUCCUACUUUUUCAGUUGUUCAGAUUUGGAUUAGAUAUAUUCCUUCCUCUGA
Long non-coding RNA from Panicum virgatum (switchgrass), 1390 nucleotides. RefSeq lists it as uncharacterized. The transcript is spliced from 4 exons. NCBI's taxonomy places the organism in Eukaryota, Viridiplantae, Streptophyta, Magnoliopsida, Poales, Poaceae. The record is from RefSeq and is a predicted model, not a curated record.